GAUGAACGCUGGCGGCGUGCCUAAUACAUGCAAGUCGAGCGAACAGACGAGGAGCUUGCUCCUCUGACGUUAGCGGCGGACGGGUGAGUAACACGUGGAUACCCUACCUAUAAGACUGGGAUAACUUCGGGAAACCGGAGCUAAUACCGGAUAAUAUAUUGCACCGCAUGGUUCAAUAGUGAAAGACGGUUUUGCUGUCACUUAUAGAUGGAUCCGCGCCGCAUUAGCUAGUUGGUAAGGUAACGGCUUACCAAGGCAACGAUGCGUAGCCGACCUGAGAGGGUGAUCGGCCACACUGGAACUGGGACACGGUCCAGACUCCUACGGGAGGCAGCAGUAGGGAAUCGUCCGCAAUAGGCGAAAGCCUGACGGAGCAACGCCGCGUGAGUGAUGAAGGUCUUCGGAUCGUAAAACUCUGUUAUUAGGGAAGAACAAAUGUGUAAGUAACUAUGCACGUCUUGACGGUACCGAAUCAGAAAGCCACGGCUAACUACGUG
RNAcentral lists this ribosomal RNA (497 nucleotides) under uncultured bacterium. Its description in RNAcentral is "partial 16S ribosomal RNA". It matches the Rfam family "Bacterial small subunit ribosomal RNA", at positions 28 to 507 of the family's 1533-position model. The record is from RNAcentral.